GAUCCUGGCUCAGGACGAACGCUGGCGGCGUGCUUCAUACAUGCAAGUCGAACGAUAAGGCACCUUCGGGUGUACAUAAGUGGCGGACGGGUGAGUAAUAUGUAGAGAAUCUGCCCUAGAGCGGGGGACAACAGUUGGAAACGACUGCUAAUACCCCAUAUGAGCGUAGUUGAAAUACUAUUCUUGAAAACUCCGGUGCUCUGGGAUGAGUCUGCAUCUGAUUAGCUAGUUGGGGGUGUAAUGGACCACCAAGGCGACGAUCAGUAGCUGGUUUGAGAGGAUGAUCAGCCACAAUGGGACUGAGACACGGCCCAUACUCCUACGGGAGGCAGCAGUAGGGAAUUUUGCGCAAUGGGGGCAACCCUGACGCCAGCAACGCCGCGUGACCGAUGAAGCCCUUCGGGGUGUAAAGGUCUGUCAGUGGGGACGAAACUUGACGGUACCCACAGAGGAAGCAUCGGCUAACUCCGUGCCAGCAGCUGC
Molecule: ribosomal RNA, 483 nt
Filed under: uncultured bacterium
Lineage: Bacteria
Description: bacterial SSU rRNA
Rfam family: Bacterial small subunit ribosomal RNA
Source: RNAcentral